GAUGAACGCUGGCGGCGUGCCUAAUACAUGCAAGUCGAGCGAACGGACGAGAAGCUUGCUUUUCUGAUGUUAGCGGCGGACGGGUGAGUAACACGUGGAUAACCUACCUAUAAGACUGGGAUAACUUCGGGAAACCGGAGCUAAUACCGGAUAAUAUUUUGAACCGCAUGGUUCAAAAGUGAAAGACGGUCUUGCUGUCACUUAUAGAUGGAUCCGCGCUGCAUUAGCUAGUUGGUAAGGUAACGGCUUACCAAGGCAACGAUGCAUAGCCGACCUGAGAGGGUGAUCGGCCACACUGGAACUGAGACACGGUCCAGACUCCUACGGGAGGCAGCAGUAGGGAAUCUUCCGCAAAGGGCGAAAGCCUGACGGAGCAACGCCGCGUGAGUGAUGAAGGUCUUCGGAUCGUAAAACUCUGUUAUUAGGGAAGAACAGAUGUGUAAGUAACUGUGGACAUCUUGACGGUACCUAAUCAAAAAGCACCGGCUAACUACGUG
RNAcentral lists this ribosomal RNA (497 nucleotides) under uncultured bacterium. RNAcentral describes it as "partial 16S ribosomal RNA". It matches the Rfam family "Bacterial small subunit ribosomal RNA", at positions 28 to 507 of the family's 1533-position model. The record is from RNAcentral.